RNA transcript from Sycon ciliatum, 2879 nucleotides. It is a transcript of the gene named deoxyribonuclease-1-like, with no coding region annotated. The record is from RefSeq and is a predicted model, not a curated record. NCBI's taxonomy places the organism in Eukaryota, Metazoa, Porifera, Calcarea, Leucosolenida, Sycettidae. The transcript has 16 exons.
ACCAGUCUGCAUUUUGCUCAUCGCAUGUGGGGAUCGACAGACUGUUUCUGCGCGUCUGGACGCUUGUCGCUGUACUGGGCGUGCACGCGUCCACCUGGGUCCCUGAGCAAGUGCCGGAGCCGACGCACACGCCGGCCCGGCUGGUCCUGGCUUGAGCGAGUGGCAAUCAUUCAGCCUUUCCUCAGUCCUCAGGGCAGGCCACUUAUGACUUACUUCAUGACCCAGAACUAACCAUUGCUGCUGUGGGUGGAAAAAUAAUCCGUGAUUGAUUGUCGGACCUUGGACAUAGCGUCCGUCUCGUGACAAUGGAGCGCAACCUGCGUUCUUCUAGCGCGCUCGCGGGCAUCCUGCUGCUGCUUUGCCGCUAUUGUGGACUGGCGGCCGGGUCGUUCUCGCUAGGGAUAGGCUCAUUCAACGUGAAGAACUUCGACUCGGCCAAGUACGACAUGUACAGCGAUAUCUAUAGCGGGAUUGUUGGCUGGCAGAAAAUCUUCCUCUUACAGGAGGUCCUAAACACGAGUAUACCAGAUGCCCUGGUCAACAGCCUCAAUGCGAGAUCCCAGUAUGCCAGUAACAAGCCAUUUCGCUCCAUCACCAGUGAGUUGCUUGGGCCUGACUCUGGAACACGGCAAGCGUAUGCAUUCAUCUACCGGGUUGACUUUGUAAAAGUCCAGCAGGUCUACCAGUACCCCAUCCAGAACUACACCGUGUUUAGACGACCGCCAUUCUCCGUGAAGUUCCAGUCGUCAGUCGUGGGUAGCUUCAUCUGUACUGGUAUGCAUACAUCGCGGCCCGCCAUUCGUGAAUUACAGGCGCUGGACGGCGCGGUGCAGCACAUCCAGCACGUCAUGGGCAGCCACGACAUCCUGAUCAUGGGAGAUCUGAAUGUCGGCUGUGGCUCCAUGCGCCCGGCCGAAUGGUCCACCAUAAGCAUUGGUACCAGCUCCCAGUACAGGUGGUAUGUUAGCAGCACGGUGGAUACUUCACUGUCCGGUGGAUGCUCGGAUGACAGGUUCAUAGCCUCCGCAGCAUUGUCUCUUCGAAUUCCCGAAUCAUCCGUGGAAGUGUACCACUAUCAGGACUUCUACAAGCUCACCCUGGAAGAAGCAGUGAAGAUCAGUACCCACUACCCUAUACAACUGGAGAUCAUUCAGCCUGAGCCAAGUGAAAGCAGACCAGUUCAGAGUACGAUCAGUGAAGCUGCUCUGCUCAAGCUGUACGGCUACGGAGCUGCACUCGGCUGUGGGUACAUCACGACCACCCUGCAAGGUGCUCUGACGGAUGGAAGCGGCCUCGAUGAGAACUACCGAAACGACCUCGACUGCGUCUGGGUGAUACUCGCACCGCUCAAUCACAGCAUUUCUCUGAGAGUAACCUACACGUUUGAAAACUUCUACGAAGAUCGGCUUGAUAUCCGCGAUGGCUACACGCUCACAUUGCGGCUCAUUGCACGGCUGCAGAACAAGGGAAAUCGAACAGUCAACAACACUGGCAACUCACUGCUGCUCAACUUCCGCACGGACAGCAUCGGAACGGGACCCGGAUUUGUCGCCACAUUCACAACUUCACCACAGUGUGACUAUACGCUAACGGACAGAGAAGGCAACUUCUCCAGCCCGCUUAACAGCUAUACUGGGCACUACCCUAAUAACUUGCACUGCACGUGGAACAUACGCGUACCGCUCGGCAUGGUCAUCAAGCUCAGCUUCUCGAAUUUCCAGGUUGAACCUGAUGGUCAGUGUGCUCCGGACUACGUCAAUGUCAUCGACGGCCAGGUGACCAAGGACAUAUUCAGCCUGGCGCCAGCGAAGGUCUCUGCCCUGCAGCUCUCUCAGAACACGCUGCCAAAUACCAUUCACCAGCGCCGCCAAUCAGAUUGGUAUAGGGUUGUCGAGUGAUUACACUAACACCAACAAGGGAUUCACCGUCUUCUAUAAAGCUGUUGGGCAUAGACUUUGAUACCUCGCGUCACAUGGCUGGCUCGACACGCCUCCACUGUCUCAUCCACUACGCCGGCUCGGUGGGUUUGGACGUACAGGAGCAUCUUGUCGAGUAGUAUCCGCAGGCUGCUCAAGAUACACUUCAAGGAUGCACGCAACGUCAAUGACUUGGAUGUCCUGAUGGAGGCAACUGCAGAGCUCCGGAGGUUGGAUUGGAGCUCGAAGCCAGCAAGGCUGCACAUGGAGGAUUCCAAGCUCAAGGAGCAAGUCUGGACAGAGCAUUAGAGGGCGCGCAAAGAGUUCGGCGUCAAGGGACUGCCGUUUUUCGUCAUGUCGCUAAAGGCCGUAAAGGGUCACUCUGACGAGGGGACGCCAAGGUCCUUCAAGCACGAUGAACCAACCGCAUGUCGUGUGGCCUGCCUCGAUGAGCUGCUCGCCAAACACCAGGGCGAUGGUGUCGAGUAAAACAGUCACUGCAUGCUGUAUACCAGCAAUGGCCAUGAAAACAAACCGGCCCAUGGCAGUAGAACUCUAUGAUGCUAUGUGUUAUGUGGAGCAAGAACUUGCCUGAUCUGAACAGUGGGUGUGGCUAUUGCAUAUGUUUUCCUGCCAGCACAGGUAUGGAUUCGCACAUUACAGUGAACGCAUGCAAAGCCCAUGUCACGUCUUGCACACCACUGUUGAGUGUUGUGCCAUGGCUUUGCCUCCAUUUUGUGUGGCAAUGUGUAUACACAAAUAACCUUGUAGGUUCGGGGAUGUCUUCAUAACCCGGAAUUCACAAUUGAACAGUGCACACACACACAAGUACACAAGUUCACACAAUUUUAGCCGAAAAUUUCGCGAAUAACAACACAAUCUCCAGAUCUAGUACCUCGUAACCAUUUCUUAAAAUUAACCUUUUUCUCAUGGAGGAUCCAGGGUCGGUAUUGGCAAGGUUAA